CGCAUGCUCCUCUUCCAUCGCUGUGCACGGGCUAACCCUAGCAAGCUCGGCAGCGAUUCCUGCCCGGCCAACGGCGAGCGGUGGGGGCAUGGCCCUGCAUGCAGCCCAGGCGCGGGCGGCGCGGCCACACGCGAGGCACGCGUGCCUGCUUUCGCAGGCGGGCGCUGCGUGUCGGCUAGCCAGGCGGGAGCGGCGCGGCCAGACCCGACGCGCGUGUGCCUGGUCCCGUGGGCGGGUGCCGCAGCCAGGCAUGGGCGGCGGGCGCCGCAGCCAGGCGUGAGCAGCAGGCCCCACGUGCUGGCCAGGUGCCGCGGGUGGGCGCGGCGCUGCCCCGCGUGCUGGGCGAGUGGUGGCUAGGCCCGGCGGCCGUGGAGGCACGGGCUCGUGCUUGUCUAGACCAGCUGCACCAACCAGCCCCGGGUGCACGUGCCGGCCAUGGAUGGGGGCAAUCCAGUUGUGGAUUUGGAGGCUAGGUCAAAUCAUACGGUUUCGUUCUAAAUGUAGGGGCAUAUUCGCAAGUGCAAACUUUUCUUCUCCUAGGUCAUUUGACACCAUUACAUGCUCUUCAUGGAGUAGGGGUAAGCGGAGUGAAAAAGUAAGGGAAAAAUCACAAACGGAAUAAAAGCGGGGGCAAAAUCACAAUUGGAUUUCAAAGUAGGGGCAAGAAUGCAAUAGCCCCAUAAAUUUAAUAAAAUUAAUUAAGCAAGUUAUCGAAACAAAUCAUCACACAAAGUCAAAUGAAAGUAUACUUUAUUUUCUGUAAUCAGUGCUUUUGUGGAGAAUGCUUUAAGGCCAAGCAAACGAAUGGUUCAGAUUUCCCAUCGAUCCAUUGGACUAUACCUUUUCUUGUGCUUAUGAUACCCAAUACUUUACAAUAGAUCACUAUAUUAACUUCGGCCUUCACAAUUCUUCUCAGUUUUGGUUUUUUAGUUUUAAAUUCAGAAUGACCAUAUGCAAACCAUGUAGAGAAAAACUUUGGCAAUGAUGGUGGAGAAAACUUAAAUGCCAAAAUGUUAUUAUUAUCAGCCUUACUAAUUUUCAGAAUACAUUGUCUGACACUAUCUAGAGUUAUUUCAUUUCUAGCAAGCAAAUUACUUUCCUCAAUCGAUCUCUUAUAAAUCCACAUAACAAUAUCACUUGUAGAUGUAUCAACUAAAAAAAUAUGAUUUGAUUGGGAACUAGGUAAACUAUUUGUAAAGCGUACCUUGUCAUAUAUGUUGGAGAGGCAUGGAAUCUUGAUGUGGAUGAUAUCGUACUUCUUCUCUUGAUGACAUCCUGCAGGCCAGACCAGUUUACCUAAACUGGUUAGGCUGGUUUGUCCAAAGUAACUGAAAAAACACUGAAUGCUGGCAUUUCAAUGCCUUCUUCUUUCUUUCGAGAUUAUGGUCUUCACCAUCUUGCCAGGGGCGGAGCCGGGGCGUGCUGGGUAUACUGUAGCACGGGCCUAGCCAAAUUCAUCCCAUGUAAAUUCAUUCCUGUAUUUAAAGCCAAAGCAGUAGUAUUAAACGACAUGUUUUGUGGUGGAAAACUUAUUGUGAAUUCAGUGCCGAUGUAUAAAAAAUAUAAAAUACCUUGUUAUAUAUGAAUAUUGCUAGAAUUAGUAGCA
Molecule: long non-coding RNA, 1606 nt
Organism: Panicum hallii
Lineage: Eukaryota; Viridiplantae; Streptophyta; Magnoliopsida; Poales; Poaceae
Exons: 2
Source: RefSeq, a predicted model, not a curated record